AUUGAACGCUGGCGGAAUGCUUUACACAUGCAAGUCGAGCGGCAGCGCGGGGGCAACCCUGGCGGCGAGCGGCGAACGGGUGAGUAAUACAUCGGAACGUGUCCUUAAGUGGGGAUAGCUCGGCGAAAGCCGGAUUAAUACCGCAUAAGCUCUGAGGAGGAAAGCGGGGGCUCCGUAAGGACCUCGCGCUGUUGGAGCGGCCGAUGUCGGAUUAGCUAGUUGGUGGGGUAAAGGCCCACAAGGCGACGAUCCGUAGCUGGUCUGAGAGGAUGAUCAGCCACACUGGAACUGAGACACGGUCCAGACUCCUACGGGAGGCAGCAGUGGGGAAUUUUGGACAAUGGGGCAACCUGAUCCAGCCAUUCCGCGUGAGUGAAGAAGGCC
This 384-nucleotide ribosomal RNA is filed under the name uncultured bacterium. RNAcentral describes it as "bacterial SSU rRNA". It matches the Rfam family "Bacterial small subunit ribosomal RNA", at positions 29 to 416 of the family's 1533-position model. The record is from RNAcentral.